CGGGACGUAGCGCAGCUUGGUAGCGCAUCGGUCUGGGGGACCGAGGGUCGCAGGUUCAAAUCCUGUCGUUCCGA
Molecule: transfer RNA, 74 nt
Filed under: Candidatus Melainabacteria bacterium GWF2_37_15
Lineage: Bacteria; Bacillati; Candidatus Melainabacteria
Also listed under: 1 other name
Description: tRNA-Pro
Rfam family: tRNA
About the family: Transfer RNA (tRNA) molecules are approximately 80 nucleotides in length. Their secondary structure includes four short double-helical elements and three loops (D, anti-codon, and T loops). Further hydrogen bonds mediate the characteristic L-shaped molecular structure. tRNAs have two regions of fundamental functional importance: the anti-codon, which is responsible for specific mRNA codon recognition, and the 3' end, to which the tRNAs corresponding amino acid is attached (by aminoacyl-tRNA synthetases). tRNAs cope with the degeneracy of the genetic code in two manners: having more than one tRNA (with a specific anti-codon) for a particular amino acid; and 'wobble' base-pairing, i.e. permitting non-standard base-pairing at the 3rd anti-codon position.
Source: RNAcentral